AUAAUGUUUUAAGAAAGUUUAUGAAUUUGCAUUGGGUCACAAUCAAAGCCAUCUUGGGCUGCAUGCAGGCUGUGGGUUGGACAAGCUUGAUAUAGAGCAUGAACUGGCAAACUACAGCCCCUGGACCAAAUCUGUCCUGCAGCCCAUAAAUAAGGUCUAUGGAAUACAGCCAUGUUCGUUCAUUUACGUAUUAUCGAUGACUGCUUUUGUACUAUAAAUAGAG
RNAcentral lists this small RNA (223 nucleotides) under Homo sapiens (human). RNAcentral's name for it is "nc075 non-coding RNA". The record is from RNAcentral. Lineage: Eukaryota; Metazoa; Chordata; Mammalia; Primates; Hominidae.